RNAcentral lists this ribosomal RNA (468 nucleotides) under uncultured bacterium. Its description in RNAcentral is "partial 16S ribosomal RNA". It matches the Rfam family "Bacterial small subunit ribosomal RNA", at positions 28 to 507 of the family's 1533-position model. The record is from RNAcentral.
GACGAACGCUGGCGGCGUGCUUAACACAUGCAAGUCGAACGGAAAGGCCCUGCUUUUGUGGGGUGCUCGAGUGGCGAACGGGUGAGUAACACGUGAGUAACCUGCCCUUGACUUUGGGAUAACUUCAGGAAACUGGGGCUAAUACCGGAUAGGAGCUCCUGCUGCAUGGUGGGGGUUGGAAAGUUUCGGCGGUUGGGGAUGGACUCGCGGCUUAUCAGCUUGUUGGUGGGGUAGUGGCUUACCAAGGCUUUGACGGGUAGCCGGCCUGGGAGGGUGACCGGCCACAUUGGGACUGAGAUACGGCCCAGACUCCUACGGGAGGCAGCAGUGGGAAAUAUUGCACAAUGGGCGGAAGCCUGAUGAAGCAACGCCGCGUGCGGGAUGACGGCCUUCGGGUUGUAAACCGCUUUCGCCUGUGACGAAGCGUGAGUGACGGUAAUGGGUAAAGAAGCACCGGCUAACUACGUG